GGAAACGGUAGCUAAUACCGCAUAACGUCGCAAGACCAAAGAGGGGGACCUUCGGGCCUCUUGCCAUCGGAUGUGCCCAGAUGGGAUUAGCUUGUUGGUGGGGUAACGGCUCACCAAGGCGACGAUCCCUAGCUGGUCUGAGAGGAUGACCAGCCACACUGGAACUGAGACACGGUCCAGACUCCUACGGGAGGCAGCAGUGGGGAAUAUUGCACAAUGGGCGCAAGCCUGAUGCAGCCAUGCCGCGUGUAUGAAGAAGGCCUUCGGGUUGUAAAGUACUUUCAGCGGGGAGGAAGGGAGUAAAGUUAAUACCUUUACUCAUUGACGUUACCCGCAGAAGAAGCACCGGCUAACUCCGUGCCAGCAGCCGCGGUAAUACGGAGGGUGCAAGCGUUAAUCGGAAUUACUGGGCGUAAAGCGCACGCAGGCGGUUUGUUAAGUCAGAUGUGAAAUCCCCGGGCUCAACCUGGGAACUGCAUCUGAUACUGGCAAGCUUGAGUCUCGUAGAGGGGGGUAGAAUUCCAGGUGUAGCGGUGAAAUGCGUAGAGAUCUGGAGGAAUACCGGUGGCGAAGGCGGCCCCCUGGACGAAGACUGACGCUCAGGUGCGAAAGCGUGGGGAGCAAACAGGAUUAGAUACCCCGGUAGUCCACGCCGUAAACGAU
Molecule: ribosomal RNA, 663 nt
Filed under: uncultured bacterium
Lineage: Bacteria
Description: bacterial SSU rRNA
Rfam family: Bacterial small subunit ribosomal RNA
Source: RNAcentral